CCCUUAGAUGUUCUGGGCCGCACGCGCGCUACACUGACGAAUGCAACGAGCUUAUAACCUUGGCCGAAAGGUCUGGGUAAUCUCCAAAUUUCGUCGUGAUGGGGAUAGAUUAUUGCAAUUAUUAAUCUUCAACGAGGAAUGCCUAGUAAGCGCAAGUCAUCAGCUUGCGUUGAUUACGUCCCUGCCCUUUGUACACACCGCCCGUCGCUCCUACCGAUUGAAUGGUCCGGUGAAGCGUUCGGACCGUGGCCUUUGGACGGUUCGCCGUCGGCGACGCUGGUAGAAGAUCUUUAAACCUUAUCAUUUAGAGGAAGGAGAAGUCGUAACA
This 328-nucleotide ribosomal RNA is filed under the name uncultured eukaryote. Its description in RNAcentral is "partial 18S ribosomal RNA". It matches the Rfam family "Eukaryotic small subunit ribosomal RNA", at positions 1470 to 1796 of the family's 1831-position model. The record is from RNAcentral.